GGAAGCACCAGAAUUCUCGGAAAGGCGUCUCUACGGCUGCCUGAACCCGACGCCUAUUUCGACGCCGACCCGGCGCUUUCAGCGCGAUUUUCCGUGGCGUUUCCCGGUGUGUGAACACGAGUGGUGGGGUCAGCGGCGCCGGGGGCGGGAGGAAGCCUCUGUCCCGCGCCUGACGAGGACCCCGCGACGCCGCGCAGUGCCGGACCGGGCACCUGUUCGCACCCCACCCCCGGCCCGGGGAAAUGCUUCAGGAUUCAAAAUGGUCGGAAAAUAACAGUCACUAGAGCAGCCUUCGCCAUUCCCCCUGCUCCCCCGAAGGGCAGGAGCUGUGCAGAGUCGGGAGCACUCCUCCUUCCCAGGAGCCCAGGGCUAAGUUGGUGUUCCCUGAAUUGGAUGCGCAGUUAGGGCAUCCAAAGGAUCGUGGCAAGCGCAGCACUGAAAACAUCAGGAUGAAACAGUUCUCAAGGAUCUCAACUUUCUAAAACAUUUGUCAAGAUAAAACCAUACAGGAAUGACCUUGAAAGAAAAGCCGCUGUCAAGAAAAGCAGCAGGAGAACAGCUGUGAACAGAGACACUAAGGAAUUGCUGCUGGCUUCCGGUCCCAGCGUCCUGUUUUUUCCAGGCAGGUUUUGUACUGAAUUGAAAGGCAGUUUUCUUGCCUCUGCGAGGCACCUGCAUCCUACCUGCGGAAGGAGAAAGUGUGGAGUGCUCUUUACUCAUUUUGAAUUUAAAUCAGAGGAGCCAAGCAGCUACAGCGCCUUUGACAGCUUUUAUACCUUGUGGAGCAUUGUAACUUCCAGGUUGUAUUGAGUAUGAAGCUUCAAAUUUUUUUAGUGCAUUCAUUGUGUCAUAAAAGGGACCUUGCCCAUAUCAAAGAAGAUAUCCAAAAUUGUGGCUUCUGAUAGCUGACUAAGAGGCUAACCUGGCUAUUAUGGGGCCUUCCAAGACGACUGAGGAGGACUCAUUUCACAUCCAACGUGGAUUCAUGUUGCCGGUCAUCCGAAAGAUAAGUUGGGGGCUACGACCUGGAGAUAGGAUGGCAGCAGGGUAGUGAGUUGGAAAUUCCUGGGAAAAACUUAAUAAUUAGUGCAGGGGUAAGGGAUGCUCUCUAAGGGGCCUCUUAGGACAGCUAAAGGGAGAGGCUCUACGUUUGAUUGCAACCGUAGGGUAUGCAGUGCAGAGCAGUUCCAGUCUGUGUUGUGUUGUCUGGUGUGUUGUGUUGUCUAGCGUGUCUUCAGGAUCCCUUGGAUCAGAUAUGUCUGCCUUUUAUCCUUGAGGACCUUAUGGCAAGUGUCAGCCAUCAUCUCUAGGUUCUCGAACAUUUGCACUUCUCGGCAUGUCACCGAUAUCUUUUGUUCUCUUACCGACAGGCUCAGCCGUGUCUUGGGAUCGCAUCUCAGAAGUGUUGAGUCAGAUGUCUUUUGAGGCCUCAUUCCCAGCUGUAUUGCCAUACAUCCUUUCCAGCCGUGAGUUGUAAUGUCCUGGGGCUUAUAACAUUGUAAGGAUAUGGGGAGCAUUCUGAACAUAGCGUUGUUUUGCAGCCCUCUUGAUCAUCGUGACUGACAGUUCUUAUAAUAGGUCACUCUAUUACAGUCUUUUCUUCUGCUCCUUAGAGCUGCUUCCGUCUACUGUCGCUAUGCCAUCAGUCAUCUCUUUUGGCGUCAUCUCAGUCCUCACCGUCAUUCUUCUCUCCGAGAGCUUUUUUUAUCAUCCUUGUGUCACACUGUUUGUAGCAUAAUGUGUUGUUUAAGUUUGUGUUUAGCCUGGAACUGCUCUGCCCUGUGGAAUAGACUGGGGGGUAGGUGGAAUAGAAAGAAGACUUUACGGGUAACCUUUAUCUUUGCGUAACCACCUGAGCCACAAUGCAGACGGAGCAACCACGGCCGGUCCGUGCGGGGUUCGGCGGGAGUGGUAUGGCGGCGUCUCGCAGUUUUCUAGUCCUUUGUCUUAAUGCAUGCUGUUGUCAGAUCCUAGGCGGUUUGCUUUGAGAAAUGAGAACCUGGGAAAGGUUAAACUUGCCCUGUGUGUGUCUAAGUGACUUUGACAAAUAAUUCUUUUGCAGAGGGAUAGGAUGUAAACCUGCUACAAAUGGCGGAGGCCAGAGGAGCACGGCGACGAGGCAGACGUGAAGUGCUUGUCACGGCCGGGUGUCGGCACCGGGGAGAUCGUGAGCCAGCUGGGUACCAGCAACAGAGA
Corvus hawaiiensis (hawaiian crow) is the source of this 2196-nucleotide long non-coding RNA. RefSeq lists it as uncharacterized. The transcript has 6 exons. The record is from RefSeq and is a predicted model, not a curated record. Lineage: Eukaryota; Metazoa; Chordata; Aves; Passeriformes; Corvidae.